Molecule: ribosomal RNA, 254 nt
Filed under: uncultured bacterium
Lineage: Bacteria
Description: partial 16S ribosomal RNA
Rfam family: Bacterial small subunit ribosomal RNA
Source: RNAcentral
UACGUAGGGAGCAAGCGUUGUUCGGAUUUACUGGGCGUAAAGAGCUCGUAGGCGGUUUCGUAAGUCGGAUGUGAAAACUCCAGGCUCAACUUGGAGACGCCAUUCGAUACUGCGAUGACUUGAGUCCGGUAGGGGAGUGUGGAAUUCCUGGUGUAGCGGUGAAAUGCGCAGAUAUCAGGAGGAACACCGGCGGCGAAGGCGGCACUCUGGGCCGGUACUGACGCUGAGGAGCGAAAGCGUGGGUAGCAAACAGG